RNAcentral lists this transfer RNA (93 nucleotides) under Mycobacterium senriense. RNAcentral describes it as "Mycobacterium sp. TY59 tRNA-Arg". Lineage: Bacteria; Bacillati; Actinomycetota; Actinomycetes; Mycobacteriales; Mycobacteriaceae. The record is from RNAcentral.
CGGCCCCUCGGGCUGCGGCAAGUCGACGGUGCUGCGGGCCCUGGCGGGACUGCUGCGGCCCGACAAGGGCCGGAUCGUCGCCGACGGCGACGA